Molecule: microRNA, 21 nt
Filed under: Ananas comosus (pineapple)
Lineage: Eukaryota; Viridiplantae; Streptophyta; Magnoliopsida; Poales; Bromeliaceae
Description: microRNA s0135_c056
Source: RNAcentral
CAAACCCGGGCUCAGACACCA